Long non-coding RNA from Lontra canadensis (Northern American river otter), 429 nucleotides. RefSeq lists it as uncharacterized. The record is from RefSeq and is a predicted model, not a curated record. Lineage: Eukaryota; Metazoa; Chordata; Mammalia; Carnivora; Mustelidae. The transcript has 2 exons.
AUUAUUCCUCCAGCAGUGGUUCAGGACCUACCAGGUGCCUGGCUGUUGAUGAUUAGACCUGGUCACACAUUCAGGGAGCUUGCUGGUGGCAGUGGUGGUGGUGGGGAAGUGGAGAGGGAGAGGCAAGGAAACACGGAAAAAAUGGAAUCACUAAUUAUUACCAGGCAGGUGCAUCUCAGAGAAAAGCCUAUCUCAAAUGAUUUCGGGUGUGACUCCUGUCUUCUCAACUCAUCUACAGAUUCCCCAAAGGCAGUGUGGUGUGUCUUGAACAAUUCCUUUGCCCAGUGCUAGAUGUCAUUGGCCCUCAGUGAUUGUUGCUGAUGGAGGGGGCACGUUUUGCUGGCCCAGCUUGCAGAGUGUAGGUUUUGGUGUGUCCAUCAGCUGUGUUAUCGGGGGCAUUCACUCCUAGCAACAUCUGAGGGCCAGAGG